RNAcentral lists this ribosomal RNA (493 nucleotides) under uncultured bacterium. Its description in RNAcentral is "partial 16S ribosomal RNA". It matches the Rfam family "Bacterial small subunit ribosomal RNA", at positions 27 to 507 of the family's 1533-position model. The record is from RNAcentral.
GAGUGAACGCUGGCGGUAGGCCUACCACAUGCAAGUCGAACGGCAGCACAGUAAGAGCUUGCUCUUACGGGUGGCGAGUGGCGGACGGGUGAGGAAUACAUCGGAAUCUACUUUUUCGUGGGGGAUAACGUAGGGAAACUUACGCUAAUACCGCAUACGACCUACGGGUGAAAGCAGGGGAUCUUCGGACCUUGCGCGAUUGAAUGAGCCGAUGUCGGAUUAGCUAGUUGGCGGGGUAAAGGCCCACCAAGGCGACGAUCCGUAGCUGGUCUGAGAGGAUGAUCAGCCACACUGGAACUGAGACACGGUCCAGACUCCUACGGGAAGCAGCAGUGGGGAAUAUUAGACAAUGGGCGCAAGCCUGAUCCAGCCAUACCGCGUGGGUGAAGAAGGCCUUCGGGUUGUAAAGCCCUUUUGUUGGGAAAGAAAAGCAGCAGGUUAAUACCCCGCUGUUCUGACGGUACCCAAAGAAUAAGCACCGGCUAACUUCGUG